CCCUUAGAUGUCCUGGGCUGCACGCGCGCUACACUGGAAGUUACGGAUUGAGAUACUACCUUGUCCGAAAUGGUCCGGGUAAUCACCUAAAAGCUUGUCAUAAUUGGAAUGGAUUAUUGUAACUAGUAAUCCUGAACGAGGAAUUCCUAGUAAGUCCCAGUCAACAGCUGGUACUGAUUACGUCCCUGCCCUUUGUACACACCGCCCGUCGCUACUACUGAUUGGACGUUUAAGCAAGAUUUUUAAACACUGACAGUGUGUAGUUCACGCUAUACUACAGUGAGAAGAAGAAGAUCAAGCUUACUUGUCUAGAGGAAGUAAAAGUCGUAACA
RNAcentral lists this ribosomal RNA (332 nucleotides) under uncultured eukaryote. RNAcentral's name for it is "partial 18S ribosomal RNA". It matches the Rfam family "Eukaryotic small subunit ribosomal RNA", at positions 1470 to 1796 of the family's 1831-position model. The record is from RNAcentral.